This 261-nucleotide transfer-messenger RNA is filed under the name Candidatus Roizmanbacteria bacterium CG_4_9_14_0_2_um_filter_36_12. Its description in RNAcentral is "partial transfer-messenger RNA". It matches the Rfam family "transfer-messenger RNA", at positions 82 to 374 of the family's 374-position model. From Rfam's summary of the family: Bacterial tmRNA, also known as 10Sa RNA or SsrA, is named for its dual tRNA and mRNA-like properties. Its role is to liberate the mRNA from a stalled ribosome. Lineage: Bacteria; Candidatus Roizmaniibacteriota. The record is from RNAcentral.
UAUGCAAAUAUGAACUUUGCUUACGUUAACUAAUCGCCCUCUCUAAAGAUUUUGUCCGAUUCAAUCUAUAGAGGGGAAAACCAAUCGGAAUAAGGUCGGAUAAUUUUUUCAGUUGGUUAUCUGACCGAUAAACUUAACUGACUAUCCUAGACGAUUUGAUUAUUUAGGCGCUAGGAUUAGAGUUAAAAAUAGUCUAUUCUAAGCUAAACAUUUUUAAGGGUGUUUUCUCGGACGCGGGUUCAAUUCCCGCCAUCUCCACUC